GAUGAACGCUGGCGGCGUGCCUAAUACAUGCAAGUCGAGCGAGCAGACGAGGAGCUUGCUCCUCUGACGUUAGCGGCGGACGGGUGAGUAACACGUGGAUAACCUACCUAUAAGACUGGGAUAACUUCGGGAAACCGGAGCUAAUACCGGAUAAUAUAUUGAACCGCAUGGUUCAAUAGUGAAAGACGGUUUUGCUGUCACUUAUAGAUGGAUCCGCGCCGCAUUAGCUAGUUGGUAAGGUAACGGCUUACCAAGGCGACGAUGCGUAGCCGACCUGAGAGGGUGAUCGGCCACACUGGAACUGAGACACGGUCCAGACUCCUACGGGAGGCAGCAGUAGGGAAUCUUCCGCAAAGGGCGAAAGCCUGACGGAGCAACGCCGCGUGAGUGAUGAAGGUCUUCGGAUCGUAAAACUCUGUUAUUAGGGAAGAACAAAUGUGUAAGUAACUAUGCACGUCUUGACGGUACCUAAUCAGAAAGCCACGGCUAACUACGUG
Molecule: ribosomal RNA, 497 nt
Filed under: uncultured bacterium
Lineage: Bacteria
Description: partial 16S ribosomal RNA
Rfam family: Bacterial small subunit ribosomal RNA
Source: RNAcentral